Molecule: ribosomal RNA, 230 nt
Filed under: uncultured bacterium
Lineage: Bacteria
Description: partial 16S ribosomal RNA
Rfam family: Bacterial small subunit ribosomal RNA
Source: RNAcentral
AAAGGGUGCGUAGGCGGCCUGAUAAGUCCGGGGUGAAAGCCCGUUGCUCAACAACGGAACUGCCCUGGAUACUGUGAGGCUUGAGUACAGACGAGGUUGGCGGAAUGGACGGAGUAGCGGUGAAAUGCAUAGAUACCGUCCAGAACCCCGAUUGCGAAGGCAGCUGACUAGGCUGUUACUGACGCUGAGGCACGACAGCGUGGGGAGCGAACAGGAUUAGAUACCCUAGU